This 1779-nucleotide long non-coding RNA is filed under the name Paramuricea clavata. Lineage: Eukaryota; Metazoa; Cnidaria; Anthozoa; Malacalcyonacea; Plexauridae. The record is from RNAcentral.
AGUCUCCCUGAAUCACUUGUACCAGCCUAUGGAAAUUCAUGUUUCCAAUUUUGUAUUUAUUUUUCUUAUGAUGCAGUAUACUGUAAAUUUGAAUAAUAUUUGUGUGCUUAUAGUGAGCUUAUUUUUAGGAGAGUUUGUUGCGAGGCAGCAUAUAUUUUGAUUUUUCAAAAUAUUACUGUAUAUUGGUAUGUUAUACUUAAUAUUAGAAUGUUAGGGUUUGGAAUCCAAGUGAGAAUAUAUACAUUUUAAGACCUAACCAGGAACGACUGCGAAAAAUGCAGCACAAGGUCCUCUGGUAGGAAUCAAACCUACGGCCCUGCGAUUCCGGUGCAGCGCUCUAACCAACUGAGCUACAGAGGCCAGCCGUUAAGCUGUAACCGUAAGUUCAUGUAUAUAUAGUAAUCAGGUGUGCGGGUUGUGAUAAGGUGGACUUCAUGACUUAGAUUCUGCACUUCACUUGGUGGAAUUAAUAUUAGAAUGAAUCCAAGUGAGAAUAUAUACAUUUUAAGACCUAACCAGGAACAACUGCAAAAAAUGCAGCACAAGGUCCUCUGGUAGGAAUCGAACCUACGGCCCUGCGAUUCCGGUGCAGCGCUCUGAGCUACAGAGGCCAGCUGUUAAGCUGUAACCGUAAGUUCAUGUAUAUAUAGGUAAUCGGGUGUGCGAGUUGUGAUAAGGUGGACUUCAUCAUGAUUCUAAUAUUAAUUCCACCAAGUGAAGUGCAGACUCUAAGUCAUGUUAUACUUAAUGCUUUUGGAAGAGUUAUAGGGGUCGGGUGUGAUAUACUUUUUCAGGUAUUUUGUGUCUGAUGUAUGUAAGAGCUUUAUUAUUGGGUUUCUUGGUGAGACCUUAUAUCUUAUGUGUCCUAUAACCCCCUGUAAUUGCGGAUUAUUGCAUACAUUCUAAUUGUUUUUUUUUUGUAGGAGUCUGAAGAUGCAAAUGAUACAAUUUCAAACUUAUCACAACCCAUAUUGUGGUCGUUGGCAUCGAACUUACUAGAAUACGACUAGAAACUGUCAAUCAUACGUUAUCGAGGGAAAGGAUGAAAGUUCCAUAACAAGCAACAGUUGUUUUGAUGCAAUUAUCGCCUUAUUGGCAAGUUUUUACAUCUUCAAUAUUGAGUACUGCCACACGAAGAGCAUCUUGUCUGCUUUGCAGACUAUAGUAGUGCAUGGGCAAGACAGAAAAUGGCAUAUACAGCUGCCAGUGAGGGUCACAGCCCUCUUCAAUGACUUGUCAUGACUCAUGAGUAUUAGUACUACAGUAAUUUUACACUUUUUGAGAGUUAUGUUGACAUAUGCUAACCCAAGUUAAUGUUAUUGAUGGAAUGUGUGUAUUGUCUCACAUCUCACCGAACUGUGGUAAUGUAUUAGAAAUUAUUCGUAUUGCGUUCAUGUUAACAACCGCGCCUGCUAUUGCUAUCACAAGUUGAUUGCUCUUUAAAAUUAGAAUUGUAAACUUUCAGAGCCAUAUGGCAUCUAUGUACGAAUCUUUUGAUGGUUCCCACAUUUCGGUGAGAUCCAUAAUACUGACUACUGUCCAUGUAUAUUGUAAUUUUAGUUAUAGUAUUGUGUUUAUAAUACAGAAAUUGGAACAUUUAUCUCAACUUAUAUUGCAAUAAUUCAUUCCAAUCUUGGUCUGUUGGAGAAAUUGUAAUAAUUUAAUCAAGACCAAAUAAACCCCAAUAUUUUGCCUGAUUCAUUAUAUACAUGUAGAAUACGUCUACAUGCAAGAGUGCAACCAAAUCCACAUGACUUUAAAUGCUAUAUAAAACGGCAC